This 1257-nucleotide ribosomal RNA is filed under the name Staphylococcus aureus. Its description in RNAcentral is "partial 23S ribosomal RNA". It matches the Rfam family "Bacterial large subunit ribosomal RNA", at positions 200 to 1461 of the family's 2925-position model. Lineage: Bacteria; Bacillati; Bacillota; Bacilli; Caryophanales; Staphylococcaceae. The record is from RNAcentral.
AUCUUAGUACCCGGAGGAAGAGAAAGAAAAUUCGAUUCCCUUAGUAGCGGCGAGCGAAACGGGAAGAGCCCAAACCAACAAGCUUGCUUGUUGGGGUUGUAGGACACUCUAUACGGAGUUACAAAGGACGACAUUAGACGAAUCAUCUGGAAAGAUGAAUCAAAGAAGGUAAUAAUCCUGUAGUCGAAAAUGUUGUCUCUCUUGAGUGGAUCCUGAGUACGACGGAGCACGUGAAAUUCCGUCGGAAUCUGGGAGGACCAUCUCCUAAGGCUAAAUACUCUCUAGUGACCGAUAGUGAACCAGUACCGUGAGGGAAAGGUGAAAAGCACCCCGGAAGGGGAGUGAAAUAGAACCUGAAACCGUGUGCUUACAAGUAGUCAGAGCCCGUUAAUGGGUGAUGGCGUGCCUUUUGUAGAAUGAACCGGCGAGUUACGAUUUGAUGCAAGGUUAAGCAGUAAAUGUGGAGCCGUAGCGAAAGCGAGUCUGAAUAGGGCGUUUAGUAUUUGGUCGUAGACCCGAAACCAGGUGAUCUACCCUUGGUCAGGUUGAAGUUCAGGUAACACUGAAUGGAGGACCGAACCGACUUACGUUGAAAAGUGAGCGGAUGAACUGAGGGUAGCGGAGAAAUUCCAAUCGAACCUGGAGAUAGCUGGUUCUCUCCGAAAUAGCUUUAGGGCUAGCCUCAAGUGAUGAUUAUUGGAGGUAGAGCACUGUUUGGACGAGGGGCCCCUCUCGGGUUACCGAAUUCAGACAAACUCCGAAUGCCAAUUAAUUUAACUUGGGAGUCAGAACAUGGGUGAUAAGGUCCGUGUUCGAAAGGGAAACAGCCCAGACCACCAGCUAAGGUCCCAAAAUAUAUGUUAAGUGGAAAAGGAUGUGGCGUUGCCCAGACAACUAGGAUGUUGGCUUAGAAGCAGCCAUCAUUUAAAGAGUGCGUAAUAGCUCACUAGUCGAGUGACACUGCGCCGAAAAUGUACCGGGGCUAAACAUAUUACCGAAGCUGUGGAUUGUCCUUUGGACAAUGGUAGGAGAGCGUUCUAAGGGCGUUGAAGCAUGAUCGUAAGGACAUGUGGAGCGCUUAGAAGUGAGAAUGCCGGUGUGAGUAGCGAAAGACGGGUGAGAAUCCCGUCCACCGAUUGACUAAGGUUUCCAGAGGAAGGCUCGUCCGCUCUGGGUUAGUCGGGUCCUAAGCUGAGGCCGACAGGCGUAGGCGAUGGAUAACAGGUUGAUAUUCCUGUACCACCUAUAAUCGUUUUA